Brachypodium distachyon (stiff brome) is the source of this 2804-nucleotide long non-coding RNA. RefSeq lists it as uncharacterized. The record is from RefSeq and is a predicted model, not a curated record. Lineage: Eukaryota; Viridiplantae; Streptophyta; Magnoliopsida; Poales; Poaceae. The transcript has 2 exons.
UAAGCUAAGUACCUCUCCCUAACAUUAGUACUUUCUUCGUCCAACAAAGAUGUCUCAAGUUUGUUAAAAUUCGAAUGUAUCUAGACAUGACUUAGUGUAUAGAUGCAUUUAAAUUUAAUCAAAUUUGAGACAUAUUUUUGUUUGACGGAAGGAUUACUUGUGUUACUUUCUCUGGCACGCAGCAUGCAUGCAUGUAGAUUUUUAUUUCACUUCGCGCGGGGAUAAAGAAUUGCAUGCAUGCUAGAGCUGGAAGCUUCUUCUUUUUUUGCAACAGGGAGCUUUUUUUUUUGUGAGUGCUUGUUAAUUGGAGUAAGUGUCUGGUUUGGUUAAGUACGUAGCUGUUACACAUGGCGUGUGUCCUUCCGGGACAUGUUGGUCGAUUUUCGACCAGUACUGGCUUUGCAUCCUAGCUAGUAUACCAUAUUUCUACUAGUACCAAUUAAGUAUACUAACGGCUAACAAGAAUCCAUUUUACUACUAAACAAGUCUACUAAGACUGAUGAUUUUAAUUUGGAACACUGACGAACCAGACUGGUGCGCGCUUUUAAGCUUUAUGCUAAUUAAAUAUAUAUAUAUAUAUAUUUUAGUAUAUGUUCUAUGAAAUUAAGGUUCCUCUACACUUUUUGGUACAAGUGGGUUUUGCAUGUCCAUAUAUAUAUAUAUUGGUACCCAGUUUUCUUUUGGAUUGGAUCAUCGACGACGGAGAUUGGAUGAAUAAGACCAUCGUUAUGAGCUUCCAGUACAUGUGAUACUUGGCAGCCGUCGACUGGAUUGACAGUCACAUCACUGGCCAUAUAUAUGGACUGUGUCAUUCUCACGCUAGCUAGCCACCAGUAGCCAUUCAAGGUCUAACACUUGGAUAUACUAUAUAUAUAGUUGCUUCAGUUUAGUUACAUUACCAGAUAGAAUGACAAAGAAGAAGCACCUCGUGGACAAGAAAUCCCCACACGUCCACCUCCGGGUGUUGGUCAAUUUCCAAAGUGCUGCCCUCUUCUUUGUUAGUUAGUCUGACAGUAACCUAAACAGCACAACUUUUUAAAUAUGUGGGAUAGGUAACUGGCGAUCCAAACAAUAAUGAGGACCAGAUUUACCAACUGUGCAUCUCCUGGUUAGGUUAGAUACUUAAGUGAGAAGACUUGGUGGAUAGGACGCAUUUUGGUAGUUAGGUAUUAUUAAUGUUUCAUAUUUUUAUAUACCAGUUUUUGUUUUUGGUGUGUCUAUAUUGAGGUCUUGUUUGUGCAAAUUAAUAGGAUCGCAAUAGCUAUCUUUUGUGGGCGUAUGUACUCGAUAUUCUCGGCCCAUAUAGUGGCGGAAUCUUUUUUUUCGAAAAGGGGUGGAAGCCCCGGCAUCUGCAUCAAUCGAUGCACAGAAGCUAGGGUAAUCCUAACCGCAUGGAGAUAAUAUCCUAAAGGACCGCCGAUUCGGUCAUGUCCGAGUGGUUGAUCUUGGUCAAGUUGCGGUAUGUGGUGGCAUGCCAUGAGGCGGCUAUCUCCGGAGGACAUCAUGGUCAUCAUGGACAUGGAUGGAGGGAACAUCUCAGGGAGAUCCGACCCUGACAAUUUGAACAUCUCUUCAUGCUUUUCUGAGGUGAAACCCCAUGAUUCGGCCUUCAUUGGUCAAAUGUGGCAACAACGGUGAUUGUGCUCCGGAGAACAUCAAGGUAGUUUUGCGCAAACGCUUGGGUGGAGGGAACAGCUCAGGAGACAUCCGACCCUAUGAGUUGAACAAAUUUUCAUGCGUUUCUUUCGUGAUCCCAUGAUUCGACCUUCAUAGGUCCGAUCUAGCUAGAAACGACGGCGUUUGUGCGUAUCUUUUUGUUGCAGGCGUUGUCUAUAUAUAUGGACAAUGGUGUGGCCUUUAUUGAUUGAACCACACAAUAAGGGUUGGUACAAUCCAUGAUGAAAAUUCUUGAUCGAUCCGGCCACCACGGGUUGGAUCCGACCAUGUCAGCUGGCACGCAUAAUCUGUCUUGUUGAAGGCAAUGAUUUUGAAUAUGGCGAUUGAGACUUAAUGGCAAAGCUCCAGAGGAGAUUGUGGUGGUUUUGGGCGAAGGCGUGGAUGGAGGAAGCGGCUCACAGAAGAUCCAACACUGAUGAUUUGAACAUAUUUUCAUGUUUUUCUGGGGUGAGAACCCAUGAUUUCACCUUCAUAGGUCAGAUCUGCCAAUGACGAUGUUUAUGCAUCGUCUGCUUUCAUGAAGGUGUUGUCUUCGUGGCCGGCAGUCUGGAUUUUAUUGGUUGGGCCACGCAACAAGGGUUGGUACCCUCCAUGAUGAAAAUUCUCGAUCGAUCCGGACUCCAUUGGUUUGACCUGAUAAUGUCGGCUCAUGUGCAUAAUCUACCUAUUGAAGGCGAUGCUUUGGAGUAUGAAGAUGGAGGCUUAAUGGCAUAGGUGCUUGUUUUGGUAGUCAUGGUCUUGCUACUAUUGGCCACUUCAUGUACUCCGCGUAAACUAUGGUCGUCUACAUGUAGCUCUAGAAGAGACCAUGGAGAUUUUGGGUGAACACAUGGACGGAGAGAGAAGCUCACGGAAGAUUUGAUGUGGAUAAUUUGAGCAUCUUUCAUGGUUUUUGGUGUGAAAACACAUGAUCCAACCUUCAUAGGUUGGAUCUGGAAAAAUACAAUGUUUGUGCAUCGGCUCCUUUCUCAAGGCAUUGUCUUCGUGGCCGAUGGUCCGACCUUUAUUGGUUGGACCAGGCAACAAGGGUUGAUACCCUGCAUGAUGAAAAUCCUUGAUCUAGCGUUCAGAGACCUCUCUCUUCAGAGGCUGGAAGGAAAUAUGAAAAAAAAUCUUUUCAUCGAAAA